RNAcentral lists this ribosomal RNA (382 nucleotides) under uncultured bacterium. RNAcentral's name for it is "bacterial SSU rRNA". It matches the Rfam family "Bacterial small subunit ribosomal RNA", at positions 28 to 412 of the family's 1533-position model. The record is from RNAcentral.
GACGAACGCUGGCGGCGUGCUUAACACAUGCAAGUCGAACGAUGAAGCCCUUUCGGGGGUGGAUUAGUGGCGAACGGGUGAGUAACACGUGGGUAACCUGCCCUGUACCCUGGGAUAAGCCUUGGAAACGAGGUCUAAUACCGGAUAUGACCUGCUCUCGCAUGGGGGUGGGUGGAAAGUUUUGGCGGUGCAGGAUGGACCCGCGGCCUAUCAGCUUGUUGGUGGGGUGAUGGCCUACCAAGGCGACGACGGGUAGCCGGCCUGAGAGGGCGACCGGCCACACUGGGGCUGAGACACGGCCCAGACUCCUACGGGAGGCAGCAGUGGGGAAUAUUGCACAAUGGGCGAAAGCCUGAUGCAGCGACGCCGCGUGAGGGAUGAC